RNAcentral lists this ribosomal RNA (330 nucleotides) under Triticum aestivum (bread wheat). RNAcentral's name for it is "partial small subunit ribosomal RNA". Lineage: Eukaryota; Viridiplantae; Streptophyta; Magnoliopsida; Poales; Poaceae. The record is from RNAcentral.
AUGUCAAAAUUGGCUGGCCAUUUUUUUGAAUGCUGCCGAUCUAGAAGCAUGCUUAAGCAUAAAUUAGAAUAUAAAUAUAUAAUAACAUUACCUAUGAUGAGCACUAUAGAGACACGAAAGAGCUGCAACCAUCAGGCCUUGAUUCGAAGGAGCUGCAACCCAUGUGUCAUCCUAUGUUGGGUCGAAGGCAUGCAUCUCGUGUUAUACAAAACAAAACAGCUCGAGAUGGAUCCUACUGCUUACUUCCAUGUGAAUAUUUUUGCAGGACCACUUCAUAGGAGACCUCUUCUUGUUUUCUUAAGAAAAAUGCUGACCUGCUUCUACCGCUAG